AAUAAUAUCUAAAGAAUUAGAUAAAUAAAAAACUUUAAGAAUAGUGGGCGAUUUAUGGUUCAUUCUCGGGUCUGGUCAAGAACCAAACUGAAUCGUAAUCGGUCCGAAUUAUAUGAAUUGAAGUCGAGCCAAAGUUUAGAACCAGAGCAAACAAUUUCAGUUCAGUUCAGUUCGGUUUCAGUUCGGUUUGACAAACAUUAUGACUGAAAUCGAAUCAAUUAUCAUAAUAUACAUUCCAGUACAUUCCUCAUUACAAUCUCAUAUUCAUUUGCGAACAAGACACCGAGAUAUGACAAACCCAAAAUUCAUUUUAGCACCAUAAAUUUUUUUAAUUUCAUUUCGUCUCAUUGAUACUUAAUUUAGAGAGAGUGAGAGUGAGCGUGAGAGAGAGGGGGCCUGGCGGCUGCUGUUGUGCUAGAUAAUUAAUUUAGAGAGAGUGAGAGUGAGCGUGAGAGAGAGGGGGCCUGGCGGCUGCUGUUGUGCUAGCCGGCUGCUGCGUCUGUCGGUCUGCGUGAGAGAGAGAGAGAGAGAGAGGGUACGCAUUCGGUUAAUUUUUUUAAAUUAAAAUUUCCUGAACCGAACGGUUUAAGCAUUCGGUUAGCCACCAAACAUAAAUUGUUCAGUGCAAGGCUGCAUGCAAAUUGAAACCGAACCGAGCUAAAUAAUUUUGAUUUGGUUCGGUUUUUACCUGUUAAACCGAACCGACCGAACUAAAAAAUUUUGAUUUAGCUCUUUUCGGCAAAAAUCAAACCAAACGCCCGGCCCUACCCACCGACUCAAAUCUUGUUUAUAAUUGAAGUGUUAUAACUUUUAAACUAUAGCUACUAUAGAAAAAAGUUAUAACUAUAAAACAAAAAUUAAUAGUAUAUAAUAAAUAUAAACUUUAAAUACGCAUAAGCCUACCACAUAUUCAAUUUCUGUUUAGAAUUAAGAUACUAUAACUUUUAAAUUACAGCUGUUGUAGAAAAAAAUUAUAAUUAUAAAACAAAAGUUAAUAGUAUAUAGUAAAUAUAAAAUUUAAAUAAUAAUUUUGACAAAAUUAUUAAAGAUAUAAUAAAUUUUUCAUCAUACAAGUGAAAAAUUAUAUCAAUAUAAUUUACAAGUUACAGUAGUUAGUGUUUACCAAACACUGCUACCCAAUCUCAAUCCCAAAUGGACUCUCAAGCUUGUUUGGAUUCCAAAGCCAUAAACUUAACUCGACUUAAUGAAGUUAAAGUUACCCAAUCAAAAUAAAUAAAAUAAGACAUAAAGGGUGUGUUUGGUACAUUAUAUUGUAUUACAUUAUAUUGUAUUAUUUUAAUACAGCUGUAUUAUAUUAUGUUGUAUUGUAUGAGCACUGUAUUAUAAUAAUGCUAUGUAAUGUUUGGUGUUAUCCUGUAUUAUUUUAACUUUUAAUUAUACUAUAUUUGGUGCUGCUUUGCAUUGCAUUAUUUUUUUGGUAAUUAUAAAAUUUUAUUUUUGAAAAAUAAAUUUUUACUUUUUGAUAACUUUGCCAAAUUUUUUUUUUGUCAAAAAUAUUUUAAUAAAAAUAUUUACUACUAAAUUCCAUGGUAUCAAUCUUCUAUUAAAUUAUACUUUUCGGCAAUAUAUCCUAUGAAAUAAAAAUCCAAGUGAAUAAAAUAGAUAACUCAAAAAAAAUCCCAACACAUAUAAUUAAAACAUAUAGGUAAAAAAAAGUCAUAAUAAAUAUAAUUAACACAAAGGUUGCACAUAUUAUACUUAGUCACAACAUAAAAGGAGUUGCAUUCUUGAAAAGAGUUGCUCUAUCUCAUAUAUCAAAUCAAGGUCAAUAAUUUUGCAUACAUAAAGACGGAUAUAACUUUCAUUCAAUCCUUAGAUAGUGUGUAUUCUUUCCCAGCUAUCCAAAUCCAAAUGCCAGUUUAGUUUUUACCACUGCUCAUCUUCCCUGAUUGGUAUUAAAAAGUGUGCAUUUAAUAAAAAUAAAAUUAAUAGUUUUUUACUUAAAGUGUUAAUUAAUACGCUCAUAAUUUAUAAAUUGUAUGAAUGCUCUCAUAAUAAAUUUUUAUCUUAAAUUAAUUCACAAUAUAUUAAUUUUAUAUUAUAAAUAUAUUUCAAUAAUAAAGAGGAGUUGGAACUGGAAGCGGGAACAAAAAAAAAUUGCUGAAGCCAUUUGGAAGCAUUAUCGAAGAUAUGUAAUUAAAAAUAAAAAAAUAAUUAAAAAAAAAAGAAAGUGGGCAAUCAUGUUGGUAAUGGUCAGGAGGCCAUCACGCCACCUGACCAUCACCCAUGAUUUGCUUGUUUGUUUGUUUGAUAAUAAUAAGAAACAAUAAUAGAAUAAAAGAAGUUGAAGCUGAAGAUUGCCUAUAAAUAGGAGAAGCUUUUGCUGAGGGAAGGGGGAGCUGAGAGGGGAGACGAGAGAACGAAGUUGAGGAAUUGUUUCUUUUUCUUUUUUUUUUCUUAUUUUGUUGUGUAAUCAAUUUCUUUGUAAUAUGUUUCAAAAGUUUAUCAAAUAAAAAGAAUGUUUUGUUUUCUUUCAAUAUGAAUGACUAAUUUUAUUAAGCUAAGCUAAAGGGUGAAGCUCAAGAUUUCAAAUUAUUAAAUUUAUUACCUUCUCAAGUGAGUUUUAAGUUUUUUUUUUCUUUUCUAGUUAUUUUUAUGUCAUGUUAAUUCAUAGAUUUUCUUUGAUCUAUAUGAUAUUUUGACAUAAUAUCAACACAUUAAUACAGUUGUGGCACAUUAUGUACUUUAUUUCAUAUUUAUCCAUACACAUAGUUAGUCAAGAUUUAAAUGAUAUAAUAGUUAACUAGUAAAAGUUGCGCAAAAUAUAAAAAAUGAUAAAGUAUUAAAAUUAUAGUUUGAAUACUGAGAGUGGAUCCCGUAACCUUAGUAUAAUUUUAAAUUAAUUCUUAGUAAUUUCUUUUCCCGCAAUUAAUUUUCUUUAUUUAACAAAUUGACUACUAGAUUUUAAAUUAUCUGUGGUUCGACCAUGGACUCACCGGAUUAUAUUAUAACUAGACACUCUUAUACUUAAGAGUAAUAACACUUUUGAGUCAUGUCACUCCCAAUCAAGAAUUUCUUCUAUUACUUGUCCAAGAAGAAAUAUGCUAUCAAAUGGACAAGAAAAGAACCACAACUACAUCAUUUCUAAGCAAUGUACAGAAUAAAUUGACUUAUGUACCAAGCUUGGCCUAACAUGCAUGUAUGUUAUGCAAAAUAUUGCAUCAAAAUGCAAAAAUGUGGUUGCAUAUGUGGAAAUUUAACCACAUAGGCAGAAUAGGUGCAAUUUUAUUAAGUUGGAUGGAAUACCGCAUUAGUUAUAUAACCAGAUGUAACGAGAUGCUAAGAUUGGCAAUAUAUUAAAGCUCUUCGUUGAUGACUUUUAGCCUUUUUUUUAUCUUCACCACAUCAUCAUUCAACUUCGAGUUUUGCUCAUAUGGCAUUUCAUCAUUAGUAUUAGGAUAUAUGAGAGAUUUAAUAGUGAAUCAAUCCCAAAAACAACAAUGCUUCACCUCACAAUGCUUCACCUCACAAUGCUUCCAUCUAGAUGACUAAAACAUUGCAUUAAGAUUUUGCAAUGUAGUUGACACCUUAGCCACUACCUGCAUGCCACACUUGCAAUAUUUUGGCUGGCAUUUCACUUUUUCAUAUAGCAGAAUUGGAAUUCUCAAAUGAAUUUGAAGUGUUAAGUGUGUGAUGGAUUAACAAUUUGUUAAUGUGCUGCUGAUUUUUUGUUGCAAAUGAGUAACAAAUUGGUUGAAUUUGAAGUGAUUGUUAGGUGUGUGAUGGAUCAAUGAUCUAUAAAUGUGCUGCUAAUAUUUUGUUAUAAAUUAAUAGCAAAUUGGUUGAAUGCCGCAAACUAUUUGUGUUGGUGCAUUUUAGGUGAUUAUAUAGCCUAAAAAUGUAACUGUUAUUGGCUCUAAUAGUUACAUUCUGGUUUGAUUCACUUUUAGGGCAAAUCUAGUAUUUUUACCUUAUUUUGAGUUUUAAGAGUAAAAUCAUCAAUUUACUAUAAUUUUCCUAACUUUCAAAUAGUAGCUAAUAAUUUAGCGGACACAAGACAUAUUUUAUCAACUUGGGAUGAAUGACUGAUACAUAUUGAAAGUGUGCUAGUACGUUUGAUAAAAGGAUUUAAUGAUUACAUUGAUAAUUUCCCUUUGUAAUAUUAUUCACCAAAAAAAAAAAUUAUGCUCUCAAAAGUUGGUGACUGAUGAAUAAUUUUAAAUAUAAACAAAAACGCUGCAAAAUAUAAAAUUUAUCUGUGAUACUUUUCAGCUUUAUCAACGAAAAGAAAAAUGAACUGGUAGUGUCGUUAAGGUGCACCAAAUUUAAAACCUUACCACUAAUAUAAAUAAUUAGUACAGAUCGAGUAAGGAUCAAUCCCACAGAGACUAUGCUAGUUAUAUUUAUUAUUAACUCUAAGCAAGAUUUGAAAUAAAAUAAUAGUAGUAAUAAUAAGAGUAAUAAUAAUAUAAAUUAAUCUAACUAAAGAAAAUGCCAAUUAUAAAUAAAAAGAGGGUUUAUGAAUUUUUAAC
This 4493-nucleotide long non-coding RNA is filed under the name Citrus x clementina. Its description in RNAcentral is "Citrus clementina (C. clementina) long non-coding RNA (CCLE_LNC006609)". The record is from RNAcentral. Lineage: Eukaryota; Viridiplantae; Streptophyta; Magnoliopsida; Sapindales; Rutaceae.